Non-coding RNA from Cheilinus undulatus (humphead wrasse), 433 nucleotides. The record is from the annotation of a RefSeq genome assembly. NCBI's taxonomy places the organism in Eukaryota, Metazoa, Chordata, Actinopteri, Labriformes, Labridae.
CUCCAUCACAACACAAGACACACAAAUCCUCCUCCUCAUCAAAAACAUGACUCUGAUCUGCAUCCUCAUCUGGACUCUCCUCUGCUGCUGCUUCACAGAGUCCAGAGGACAGGUCACAGUGACUCAGCCUGCAGCAGUGAGAUCUGCUCUGGGAGCCUCCGUCACCAUCCCAUGUAGGACCAGUGUUAAUGUUCAUGGUAGUUAUUUAGGCUGGUACCAACAGAAAGAUGGAGAAAUCCCUAAGCUGUUUAUUUAUGUGAUAAGAACUCUAGCAUCAGGGAUUCCAGGUCGUUUUUCAGGCAGUGGAUCAGGCUCUGACUUCACUCUGACCAUCAGUGGAGUCCAGGCUGAAGAUGCAGCAGUUUACUACUGUCAGAGUUUACACUACAUCAACAAUGUCUACGUGUUAGCACGGUGAAAAAGGGUCGUACAA